CACCGCGGUUGUCUCACUGCAUUCUCGUAUUUAUCUUUUCCACUGAGUAAAGACGUAUACUUAGUAGCUCGAGGGACGUUCAACGAUGAACGUUUGAUGCUGCUCGUAUAGAACGCAAUAUAGCAUCUCUCGCGGUUUCGUAAUUUUUCUCGGUCGAAAAUCUCAAAGCAAAAUGAAUUAUUGUGCGAUGUUAUCUUCGUGAAAAUUACCGCAUUUGAUAUACUUGUAUAUACGUUAUCAUUGCCACAUGUAAGUGACGAGUGCGAUUGACGUGCACUGCGUUUUUUUUUCGUUCUUAUAGAAUAAAUUGAUAUCGUUAUAUGCUGAGAUUGAGGUGGAAGAGUUAAUACCAUUAAAUAAAAAUGGAUUCAUUUAAUAAUUACGGUAGGAAUGAUUUGUCGGAGAUGUAUCCGUCGUUUAUUUAUUUAAAUGAAGAUGAGAACAGUCACUUACUCCUGGACAUGGAUUCUUUGGUUUCUAGGCGUAGUAAUUUCUUAGCGAACCGCAGUUGUGAAUCAGUGAAGAAGAAAUGUUUUCUCGUUGUUGGAGGGGAUUUCUCGGGACUACUUAACAUUGACGUAUUGCAUCGAUUUAUGGAAAAACCGCAUUUAACUUUAGCAUUUAAUCAUUCUAUCUCUAAAAAAACACGCUACACAAGAUACUCGACAGAUCCGACUUUAAAAAUAUCUGAAUGGAUAGGUGACGAGGAAUGCAAGGAAAUCGAUGGUACCGGAUGGUCAGAUAAACCUAUCAAAAACUGGUGUCAAGAGGAAACAAUAAAUUGGCUUAUGUCAGCCGCAUCGUAUAUGGGUCAACCGUACAGUUCUAUUCAACAUAGUCUUGCUGUGUCAGGGAAGGAACUUGUGACUUUUACCCGACAAGAUUUCAUUAAUUAUGAUCCAAUAUACGGGGACCAAUUGUACGAUCUUCUUCACUCACAACGUGUAUCGAAUCUGCUGCCAUCAUUCGAUACUAUUCAACCACAAUCGGAGGACGAAUACGCGCCAGUUAUUUCAAACAACAUAUCUGAUGCAGAAUCGGAUAAUAGCGUUGAAGUUGCAACGAAAAGAAUGCCUGGCAGACCAAGAGUAUUAAAGACCAAAAAGAAUCAGAAACGUGUCCUAGUUUAAUCUGUUGGGAGGAUUAUUCACAAGCCAAAUUUCGCUUUGUAAAAAGCGACGAAGUAGCAAAACGGUGGGGUUCACGGAAAGGAAAUACAAAAAUGACUUAUGAAAAACUUAGUAGAGCUAUGAGAUACUAUUAUAAAAGCAAGAUAUUUCUACCGGUGCUUGGUCGAAGAUUGGUAUAUCAAUUUGGACCAAAUGCAAAAGGAUGGCAAACGGAUAAUCCAAAUUUCCGAAAUUGAAACGACAUUGUCAAGAAGAAGCGAAUAUAUAUGUAUAUAUGGAAUAUGCGAAAACAAUAAAAUAAACCGAAUAUCUCGUGAUGUUCUCGAAAUGUUAAAGAUAAUCGCGCAUUUAACACUUUACUAAUCAAAGAAGCUAUCUAUUAAUAAGCCUCUCAUACUAGAAUAAGCCAAUCAGUAAUAUAUUAAUAUGUUUUAUAUGCUUCUUAAAUAGUGCCAUAAAUAUAGCUAUAUUUUUUCACAAAUAUAGAAGCAUAAUAAUAUAUAGUAAGAUAAAGUUCGCGUAACAACAAAAAAGGAAUAAAGCCUCAAGAAGAUAUUCCGUUUAUCUAUCUUGCCGCCGCGGUUCCUUGUCAUAUUUUUAUAUUUUUAAUGUUAUCAAAACUCUAAUUACAUAAUAAUUGUGUUUACAAUGAUCUUAAAAUGCAAUUAAAAAGAAUGUGCAAGAGAUACUAUUUAAGAAGAAAAAAUUACUAUUUAAGAAUAAUUUCACGAAUAAAAUCAAGAAACAAAUCUUUUAUAAAAA
Formica exsecta is the source of this 1892-nucleotide RNA transcript. It is a transcript of the gene named ETS-related transcription factor Elf-5-like, with no coding region annotated. The record is from RefSeq and is a predicted model, not a curated record. Lineage: Eukaryota; Metazoa; Arthropoda; Insecta; Hymenoptera; Formicidae. The transcript is spliced from 7 exons.